RNAcentral lists this ribosomal RNA (478 nucleotides) under uncultured bacterium. Its description in RNAcentral is "partial 16S ribosomal RNA". It matches the Rfam family "Bacterial small subunit ribosomal RNA", at positions 28 to 507 of the family's 1533-position model. The record is from RNAcentral.
GAUGAACGCUAGCGGCAGGCCUAACACAUGCAAGUCGAGGGAGAAGCCCUUUCGGGGGCAGAAACCGGCGCACGGGUGCGUAACGCGUAUGCAACCUACCUUUCACAGGGGGAUAGCCCGAAGAAAUUUGGAUUAAUACCCCAUAAUAUUAUUGGAUGGCAUCAUUUGAUAAUUAAAACUGCGGUGGUGAAAGAUGGGCAUGCGUCCUAUUAGCUAGUUGGAGUGGUAACGGCACCCCAAGGCUACGAUAGGUAGGGGUCCUGAGAGGGAGAUCCCCCACACUGGUACUGAGACAGGGACCAGACUCCUACGGGAGGCAGCAGUGAGGAAUAUUGGUCAAUGGUCGGAAGACUGAACCAGCCAUGCCGCGUGCAGGAAGAAUGCCUUAUGGGUUGUAAACUGCUUUUAUAUGGGAAGAAUAAGGCGUACGUGUACGUUGAUGAUGGUACCAUAUGAAUAAGCAUCGGCUAACUCCGUG